ACCACCGCGAGCUCCUCACCUAGAUCCACAGAGCUUCUGCGGGCGCAGGGGAGACCAGCGCCGCACGGAUAUUCGAGGGGCGGCAAAGGAGCACCGUUCGGGUAGCUGGGCCUCUUCCACGAUGCACCGGCCGGUGAGCUCAGCUCCUCCGCUGAUGGGUCUUGGCAGGCGCCAUCCCGUGGCUCGGGUCGCGGCUCGAGUGGGGAUGCACGAGGAGGACGGACCUUGUGGCCCGAACGGCGGCGAUAGGGCGGGGCAGGGACACGGGAAGAGGCCAGUCGAUCAGGCUGGGAAAGGUGAAAAGCUGACAUGAAUGGCGUAUAAGGUUUUGGGCUUGAGAAGGAAUAGGAUCCUGACCUUGAUACGGUACGAGGGCCGACACAGAAGAUUGCUGCAGCAGGAUGGCGCCACAACUAGCGAAGGGGUGAGACAUGGCAGGCAUUGGAACUUCGAUAAACCGAUGAAGGGGAAGUGUGGUGACUGGUGAGGCAACCAAGGUGUAUCUCGGUCAGUCCGGUGGUAGUUUCGAAGAUACCCCUUCACUGGCUGCGGCAUGGCAAAUAGAAGAGUGGUGUCGACGACUCAGAGGAAUGGAAAAAUAUUCAGAGGAAUGGCUAAUGCAGGUGGUGUUGUAUUCACUGAAUCAGACAAACCAGAUGGGGAGAGGCCUGUAAGCAUUUGAUUUCAAUCGCUCUUCCAUUUAGCUCUCCUUUCUUCAGUUAAUUGAGUAUAAUCUUGAGCUGGUGGUACUGAUAGUUGUUGUAGGUUUGAUGAUUCUGUUUGUGGUGUUGAUAUGGUGUGUCUCUGUUCUCUUUGGGACCCGUUCCAAUGUAGCAUGAUACUGAGAUGAAAUAGAAGUGAAAUGCAGUUCGUUAUCCUAA
Molecule: long non-coding RNA, 881 nt
Organism: Lolium rigidum
Lineage: Eukaryota; Viridiplantae; Streptophyta; Magnoliopsida; Poales; Poaceae
Exons: 2
Source: RefSeq, a predicted model, not a curated record